GACGAACGCUGGCGGCGUGCUUAACACAUGCAAGUCGAGCGGAAAGGCCACUUCGGUGGUACUCGAGCGGCGAACGGGUGAGUAACACGUGAGUAAUCUGCCCCUGGCUUUGGGAUAGCCACCGGAAACGGUGAUUAAUACCGGAUACGACCACUUCUCGCAUGGGAUGGUGGUGGAAAGUUUUUUCGGCCAGGGAUGUGCUCGCGGCCUAUCAGCUUGAUGGUGAGGUAAUGGCUCACCAUGGCUUCGACGGGUAGCCGGCCUGAGAGGGUGACGGGUCACACUGGGAAUGAGACACGGCCCAGACUCCUACGGGAGGCAGCGGUGGGGAAUAUUGGACAAUGGGCGGAAGCCUGAUCCAGCAACGCCGCGUGAGGGAUGACGGCCUUCGGGUUGUAAACCUCUUUCAGCAGGGACGAAGCGCAGGUGACGGUACCUGCAGAAGAAGCACCGGCCAACUACGUGCCAGCCGCCGCAGUAA
RNAcentral lists this ribosomal RNA (481 nucleotides) under uncultured bacterium. RNAcentral describes it as "partial 16S ribosomal RNA". It matches the Rfam family "Bacterial small subunit ribosomal RNA", at positions 28 to 523 of the family's 1533-position model. The record is from RNAcentral.